GACGAACGCUGGCGGCGUGCUUUACACAUGCAAGUCGAGCGGUGAAGGUGGAGCUUGCUCCGCCGGAUCAGUGGCGAACGGGUGAGUAACACGUGGGCAACCUGCCCCUAACUUUGGGAUAACUACUCGAAAGAGUAGCUAAUACCGGAUAUGAAGUCUGUAGGCAUCUAUGGAUUUGGAAAGUUUUUCGGUUAGGGAUGGGCCCGCGGCCUAUCAGCUUGUUGGUAAGGUAGUGGCUCACCAAGGCGACGACGGGUAGCCGGCCUGAGAGGGGGACCGGGCACACUGGGACGGACACACGGCCCAGACUCCUACGGGAGGCAGCAGUGGGGAAUAUUGCGCAAUGGGCGAAAGCCUGACGCAGCAACGCCGCGUGCGGGAUGAAGGCCUUCGGGUUGUAAACCGCUUUCAGCAGGGAAGAAGCGAAAGUGACGGUACCUGCAGAAGAAGCACCGGCUAACUACGUGCCAGCAGCCGCCGUAA
Molecule: ribosomal RNA, 483 nt
Filed under: uncultured bacterium
Lineage: Bacteria
Description: partial 16S ribosomal RNA
Rfam family: Bacterial small subunit ribosomal RNA
Source: RNAcentral